RNAcentral lists this ribosomal RNA (292 nucleotides) under uncultured bacterium. RNAcentral's name for it is "partial 16S ribosomal RNA". It matches the Rfam family "Bacterial small subunit ribosomal RNA", at positions 505 to 796 of the family's 1533-position model. The record is from RNAcentral.
GUGCCAGCCGCCGCGGUAAGACAGAGGUGGCAAGCGUUGUUCGGAAUUACUGGGCUUAAAGGGCGCGUAGGUGUCCUGGCAAGUCAGAUGUGGAAUCUUUCCGCUUAACGGGAAAAUUGCAUUUGAAACUGCCGGGAUUGAGUCAGACAGGGGAUGGCGGAAUUCCUGGUGUAGCGGUGAAAUGCGUAGAUAUCAGGAGGAAGGCCUGUGGUGAAGACGGCCAUCUGGGUCUGAACUGACACUGAGGCGCGAAAGCGUGGGUAGCAAACAGGAUUAGAAACCCUGGUAGUCC